This 85-nucleotide microRNA precursor is filed under the name Phlebotomus papatasi. Its description in RNAcentral is "microRNA MIR1846". The record is from RNAcentral. Lineage: Eukaryota; Metazoa; Arthropoda; Insecta; Diptera; Psychodidae.
ACAUGUUUUCGGAGCUUCCUGUGAGAGGGAGUGAGAUCUAGAUCUAGUAAUCCACUCUCUCUCAUAGGCAGUUUCGAAAACAUGU